Molecule: ribosomal RNA, 756 nt
Filed under: uncultured bacterium
Lineage: Bacteria
Description: bacterial SSU rRNA
Rfam family: Bacterial small subunit ribosomal RNA
Source: RNAcentral
AGAGUUUGAUCAUGGCUCAGAAUCAACGCUGGCGGCGCGCCUAACACAUGCAAGUCGAACGAGAAAGUGGAGCAAUCCAUGAGUACAGUGGCGUACGGGUGAGUAACACGUGGGUAAUCUACCUUUUAGUGAGGAAUAACCGAGGGAAACUUCGGCUAAUACCGCAUAAGCCUGAGAAGGGAAAGCAGAAAUGCGCUGAAAGAGGAGCCCGCGGCCGAUUAGCUAGUUGGUGAGGUAAGAGCCCACCAAGGCAGAGAUCGGUAGCCGGCCUGAGAGGGCACACGGCCACACUGGCACUGAAACACGGGCCAGACUCCUACGGGAGGCAGCAGUGGGGAAUCUUGCACAAUGGGGGCAACCCUGAUGCAGCGACGCCGCGUGAGCGAUGAAGCCCUUCGGGGUGUAAAGCUCUUUCGUCAGGGAAGAUAGUGACGGUACCUGGAGAAGCAGCUGCGGCUAACUACGUGCCAGCAGCCGCGGUAAUACGUAGGCAGCGAGCGUUGUUCGGAGUUACUGGGCGUAAAGGGUGUGUAGGCGGUUGUUUAAGUUUGGUGUGAAAUCUCCCGGCUCAACUGGGAGGGUGCGCCGAAUACUGAGCGACUAGAGUGCGGGAGAGGAAAGUGGAAUUCCUGGUGUAGCGGUGAAAUGCGUAGAUAUCAGGAGGAACACCGGUGGUGUAGACGGCUUUCUGGACCGUAACUGACGCUGAGACACGAAAGCGUGGGUAGCAAACAGGAUUAGAUACCCUAGUAGUCC